AGCUCCAAUAGCGUAUAUUAAAGUUGUUGUGGUUAAAAAGCUCGUAGUUGGAUCUCAACAGCGUGGUGGCGGUCGGCAUGCUUGCCGUUACUGCUGUCUUGCGCUGUGCUUUUUGCUGGAGGGUGGCAGGUGCUCUUAAUCGGGUGUCUGUUGUCGCCAGCAGGUUUACUUUGAAAAAAUUAGAGUGCUCAAAGCAGGCUGUUACGCCUGAAUAUUCGUGCAUGGAAUAAUAGAAUAGGACGUCGAUCCUAUUUUGUUGGUUUUCGGGACUCGACGUAAUGAUUAAUAGGGACAGUCGGGGGCAUUUGUAUUCAAACGACAGAGGUGAAAUUCUUGGACCGUUUGAAGACAAACUACUGCGAAAGCAUUUGCCAAGAAUGUUUUCA
Molecule: ribosomal RNA, 386 nt
Filed under: marine copepod environmental sample
Lineage: Eukaryota; Metazoa; Arthropoda; Copepoda
Description: SSU rRNA
Rfam family: Eukaryotic small subunit ribosomal RNA
Source: RNAcentral